RNAcentral lists this ribosomal RNA (253 nucleotides) under uncultured bacterium. RNAcentral describes it as "partial 16S ribosomal RNA". It matches the Rfam family "Bacterial small subunit ribosomal RNA", at positions 524 to 776 of the family's 1533-position model. The record is from RNAcentral.
UACGUAGGCAGCGAGCGUUGUUCGGAAUUACUGGGCGUAAAGAGUGUGUAGGCGGUGCUCUAAGUUCGGUGUGAAAUCUCCUGGCUCAACUGGGAGGGUGCGCCGGAAACUGGAGUGCUUGAGCGUGGGAGAGGAAAGCGGAAUUCCUGGUGUAGCGGUGAAAUGCGUAGAUAUCCGGAGGAACACCUGUGGUGUAGACGGCUUUCUGGACCAUAGCUGACGCUGAGACACGAAAGCGUGGGUAGCAAACAGG